Molecule: ribosomal RNA, 252 nt
Filed under: uncultured bacterium
Lineage: Bacteria
Description: partial 16S ribosomal RNA
Rfam family: Bacterial small subunit ribosomal RNA
Source: RNAcentral
ACGGAGGGUGCAAGCGUUAUCCGGAAUCACUGGGUUUAAAGGGUGCGUAGGCGGCGUUGUAAGUCAGAAGUGAAAGCUUUCAGCUUAACUGGAAAAUUGCUUUUGAUACUGCAGCACUUGAAUCAGGUUGAGGUUGGCGGAAUGUGACAUGUAGCGGUGAAAUGCAUAGAUAUGUCAUAGAACACCAAUUGCGAAGGCAGCUGACUGGGCCUGAAUUGACGCUGAGGCACGAAAGCGUGGGGAGCGAACAGG